CCUACGGGGCGCAGCAGUGGGGAAUAUUGGACAAUGGGCGAAAGCCUGAUCCAGCCAUGCCGCGUGUGUGAAGAAGGCCUUCGGGUUGUAAAACACUUUCAGUGGGGAAGAAAGCCUUGGGGCUAAUACCCUCGAGGAAGGACAUCACCCACAGAAGAAGCACCGGCUAACUCCGUGCCAGCAGCCGCGGUAAUACGGAGGGUGCGAGCGUUAAUCGGAAUUACUGGGCGUAAAGCGCGCGUAGGCGGUCUGAUAAGCCGGUUGUGAAAGCCCCGGGCUCAACCUGGGAACGGCAUCCGGAACUGUCAGGCUAGAGUGCAGGAGAGGAAGGUAGAAUUCCCGGUGUAGCGGUGAAAUGCGUAGAGAUCGGGAGGAAUACCAGUGGCGAAGGCGGCCUUCUGGACUGACACUGACGCUGAGGUGCGAAAGCGUGGGUAGCAAACAGGAUUAGAUACCCGAGUAGUC
Molecule: ribosomal RNA, 465 nt
Filed under: Vreelandella stevensii
Lineage: Bacteria; Pseudomonadati; Pseudomonadota; Gammaproteobacteria; Oceanospirillales; Halomonadaceae
Description: partial 16S ribosomal RNA
Rfam family: Bacterial small subunit ribosomal RNA
Source: RNAcentral